Molecule: non-coding RNA, 87 nt
Organism: Mycena metata
Lineage: Eukaryota; Fungi; Basidiomycota; Agaricomycetes; Agaricales; Mycenaceae
Source: the annotation of a GenBank genome assembly
GCCUCUGUGGAUCAGUGUAGAUCACCUCAAUAUCUUGCUGCUUUGAAGAUUAAUGAGGAGACGUGGGUUCGAAUCCCACCGCAGGCA